CGUGUAGGCGGUCGGUCAAGUUCGGUGUGAAAGCCCGGGGCUCAGCUCCGGAAGUGCAUCGGAAACUAGCCGACCCGAGCGCGAUAGAGGAGGGUGGAAUUCCUGGUGUAGCGGUGAAAUGCGUAGAUAUCAGGAGGAACACCGGCGGCGAAGGCGGCCCUCUGGGUCGUUGCUGACGCUGAGACGCGAAAGCGUGGGGAGCAAACA
This 207-nucleotide ribosomal RNA is filed under the name uncultured bacterium. RNAcentral's name for it is "partial 16S ribosomal RNA". It matches the Rfam family "Bacterial small subunit ribosomal RNA", at positions 568 to 774 of the family's 1533-position model. The record is from RNAcentral.